GUCCACGCCGUAAACGAUGGGUACUAGGUGUAGGGGGUAUAGACUCCCCCUGUGCCGUCGCUAACGCAAUAAGUACCCCGCCUGGGGAGUACGGUCGCAAGACUAAAACUCAAAGGAAUUGACGGGGCCCGCACAAGCAGCGGAGCAUGUGGUUUAAUUCGAGGCAACGCGAAGAACCUUACCUGGACUUGACAUCUCCUGAAUUACCCUUAACCGGGGAACCCUUCGGGGCAGGAAGACAGGUGGUGCAUGGUUGUCGU
This 260-nucleotide ribosomal RNA is filed under the name uncultured bacterium. Its description in RNAcentral is "partial 16S ribosomal RNA". It matches the Rfam family "Bacterial small subunit ribosomal RNA", at positions 793 to 1055 of the family's 1533-position model. The record is from RNAcentral.